RNAcentral lists this ribosomal RNA (376 nucleotides) under uncultured Anaerolineaceae bacterium. Its description in RNAcentral is "bacterial SSU rRNA". It matches the Rfam family "Bacterial small subunit ribosomal RNA", at positions 991 to 1382 of the family's 1533-position model. Lineage: Bacteria; Bacillati; Chloroflexota; Anaerolineae; Anaerolineales; Anaerolineaceae. The record is from RNAcentral.
UGGUAAUGAAGCGAAAGCUAAGUGACCGCAAGGAGCUAGCACAGGUGCUGCAUGGCUGUCGUCAGCUCGUGUCGUGAGAUGUUCGGUUAAGUCCGCUAACGAGCGCAACCCUCGCUGUGUGUUACAAGUGUCACACGGAACUGCCGGUCAUAAACCGGAGGAAGGUGGGGAUGACGUCAAGUCAGCAUGGCCUUUAUAUCCUGGGCUACACACACGCUACAAUGGGAAGGGACAAUAGGUUGCGAAGCCGCGAGGCGGAGCCAAUCCAGCAAAACUUCCCUCAGUUCAGAUUGCAGGCUGCAACCCGCCUGCAUGAAGUUGGAGUUGCUAGUAAACGCAGGUCAGCCAUACUGCGUUGAAUACGUUCCCGGGGCUU